ACAGGGAUGAAGGAAAUGGACUUGUUCAAUUCCGAAGGGCCCAAGUGCUGGGAUUAUAGGGGUGCACCACCACCCCCAGCAGGAAUCUGUGUUUUCAACAAAUAUACCUGGGACAUCAGAGGAAGAAAAGAGGAGCCAAGAAUCAGCAGGCUCCAGUGGAUCCAGCUGUGUGCACAGGACAGCUUUCCUGACUCGUGUGCCUCCCUCAGCCAACACCUCAUUUCUUUCCCCAUUUGCAGUAUGUUUUUAAGGUGCAUUGGUGUCUUUCUUCUGUGGCCUGGUAGCCAGUCAGAGGGGACACAAGAUCUGGAGGGCAAGGCAAGCUCCCUCACUGCCCUACCACAGCUGCCC
This 351-nucleotide long non-coding RNA is filed under the name Castor canadensis (American beaver). Its description in RNAcentral is "lncRNA (ENSCCNG00000002162.1)". Lineage: Eukaryota; Metazoa; Chordata; Mammalia; Rodentia; Castoridae. The record is from RNAcentral.